This 429-nucleotide ribosomal RNA is filed under the name Chloroflexota bacterium. RNAcentral describes it as "Chloroflexi bacterium partial 16S ribosomal RNA". It matches the Rfam family "Bacterial small subunit ribosomal RNA", at positions 355 to 776 of the family's 1533-position model. The record is from RNAcentral. Lineage: Bacteria; Bacillati; Chloroflexota.
UGGGGAAUAUUGCACAAUGGGCGCAAGCCUGAUGCAGCCAUGCCGCGUGUAUGAAGAAGGCCUUCGGGUUGUAAAGUACUUUCAGUCGGGAGGAAGGUGGUAAGGUUAAUAACCUUAUCAAUCGACGUUACCGACAGAAGAAGCACCGGCUAACUCCGUGCCAGCAGCCGCGGUAAUACGGAGGGUGCAAGCGUUAAUCGGAAUUACUGGGCGUAAAGCGCACGCAGGCGGUUGAUUGAGUCAGAUGUGAAAUCCCCGGGCUUAACCCGGGAAUUGCAUCUGAUACUGGUCAGCUAGAGUCUUGUAGAGGGGGGUAGAAUUCCAUGUGUAGCGGUGAAAUGCGUAGAGAUGUGGAGGAAUACCGGUGGCGAAGGCGGCCCCCUGGACAAAGACUGACGCUCAGGUGCGAAAGCGUGGGGAGCAAACAGG